UGGGGAAUAUUGGACAAUGGGCGAAAGCCUGAUCCAGCCAUGCCGCGUGUGUGAAGAAGGCCUUUUGGUUGUAAAGCACUUUAAGUGGGGAGGAAAAGCUUGUGGUUAAUACCCAUAAGCCCUGACGUUACCCACAGAAUAAGCACCGGCUAACUCUGUGCCAGCAGCCGCGGUAAUACAGAGGGUGCAAGCGUUAAUCGGAAUUACUGGGCGUAAAGCGUGCGUAGGUGGUUAUUUAAGUCAGAUGUGAAAGCCCCGGGCUUAACCUGGGAACUGCAUCUGAUACUGGAUAACUAGAGUAGGUGAGAGGGGAGUAGAAUUCCAGGUGUAGCGGUGAAAUGCGUAGAGAUCUGGAGGAAUACCGAUGGCGAAGGCAGCUCCCUGGCAUCAUACUGACACUGAGGUGCGAAAGCGUGGGUAGCAAACAGGAUUAGAUACCCUGGUAGUCCACGCCGUAAACGAUGUCUACCAGUCGUUGGGUCUUUUAAAGACUUAGUGACGCAGUUAACGCAAUAAGUAGACCGCCUGGGGAGUACGGCCGCAAGGUUA
RNAcentral lists this ribosomal RNA (549 nucleotides) under uncultured bacterium. RNAcentral's name for it is "bacterial SSU rRNA". It matches the Rfam family "Bacterial small subunit ribosomal RNA", at positions 355 to 896 of the family's 1533-position model. The record is from RNAcentral.